RNAcentral lists this ribosomal RNA (386 nucleotides) under uncultured bacterium. RNAcentral describes it as "bacterial SSU rRNA". It matches the Rfam family "Bacterial small subunit ribosomal RNA", at positions 29 to 416 of the family's 1533-position model. The record is from RNAcentral.
AUUGAACGCUGGCGGUAGGCCUAACACAUGCAAGUCGAACGCGAAAGUCCUUCGGGAUGAGUAGAGUGGCGGACGGGUGAGUAACGCGUAGGAAUCUAUCCUGUAGUGGGGGAGUAACGUUUCGAAAGGAACGCUAAUACCGCAUACGCCCCAACGGGGGAAAGCGGGGGAGUCUUCGGACCUCGUGCUAUAGGAGGAGCCUGCGUCGGAUUAGCUAGUUGGUGAGGUAAAGGCUCACCAAGGCGACGAUCCGUAGCUGGUCUGAGAGGAUGAUCAGCCACACCGGAACUGAGACACGGUCCGGACUCCUACGGGAGGCAGCAGUGGGGAAUAUUGCGCAAUGGGCGAAAGCCUGACGCAGCCAUACCGCGUGUGUGAAGAAGGCC